RNAcentral lists this ribosomal RNA (465 nucleotides) under uncultured bacterium. RNAcentral's name for it is "partial 16S ribosomal RNA". It matches the Rfam family "Bacterial small subunit ribosomal RNA", at positions 28 to 507 of the family's 1533-position model. The record is from RNAcentral.
GAUGAACGCUGGCGGCGUGCUUAACACAUGCAAGUCGUACGAUGAAGCCCAGCUUGCUGGGUGGAUUAGUGGCGAACGGGUGAGUAACACGUGAGUAACCUGCCCUUAACUCUGGGAUAAGCCUGGGAAACUGGGUCUAAUACCGGAUAGGAGCGUCCACCGCAUGGUGGGUGUUGGAAAGAUUUAUCGGUUUUGGAUGGACUCGCGGCCUAUCAGCUUGUUGGUGAGGUAAUGGCUCACCAAGGCGACGACGGGUAGCCGGCCUGAGAGGGUGACCGGCCACACUGGGACUGAGACACGGCCCAGACUCCUACGGGAGGCAGCAGUGGGAAUAUUGCACAAUGGGCGCAAGCCUGAUGCAGCGACGCCGCGUGAGGGAUGACGGCCUUCGGGUUGUAAACCUCUUUCAGUAGGGAAGAAGCGAAAGUGACGGUACCUGCAGAAGAAGCACCGGCUAACUACGUG